RNAcentral lists this ribosomal RNA (274 nucleotides) under uncultured bacterium. RNAcentral describes it as "partial 16S ribosomal RNA". It matches the Rfam family "Bacterial small subunit ribosomal RNA", at positions 523 to 796 of the family's 1533-position model. The record is from RNAcentral.
AUACGGAGGGUCCGAGCGUUAUCCGGAAUCAUUGGGUUUAAAGGGUCCGUAGGCGGGAAUCUAAGUCAGUGGUGAAAUCUUGCAGCUCGACUGUAAAAUUGCCAUUGAUACUGGAUUUCUUGAAUUAGUGUGAAGUGAUUAGAAUGUGUAGUGUAGCGGUGAAAUGCAUAGAUAUUACACAGAAUACCAAUUGCGAAGGCAGAUCACUAACACUAUAUUGACGCUGAGGGACGAAAGCGUGGGGAGCGAACAGAAUUAGAAACCCCGGUAGUCC